GAUGAACGCUGGCGGCGUGCCUAAUACAUGCAAGUCGAGCGAACAGAUGAGGAGCUUGCUCCUCUGACGUUAGCGGCGGACGGGUGAGUAACACGUGGAUAACCUACCUAUAAGACUGGGAUAACUUCGGGAAACCGGAGCUAAUACCGGAUAAUAUAUUGAACCGCAUGGUUCAAUAGUGAAAGACGGUUUUGCUGUCACGUAUAGAUGGAUCCGCGCCGCAUUAGCUAGUUGGUAAGGUAACGGCUUACCAAGGCAACGAGGCGUAGCCGACCUGAGAGGGUGAUCGGCCACACUGGAACUGAGACACGGUCCAGACUCCUACGGGAGGCAGCAGUAGGGAAUCUUCCGCAAUGGGCGAAAGCCUGACGGAGCAACGCCGCGUGAGUGAUGAAGGUCUUCGGAUCGUAAAACUCUGUUAUUAGGGAAGAACAAAUGUGUAAGUAACUAUGCACGUCUUGACGGUACCUAAUCAGAAAGCCACGGCUAACUACGUG
Molecule: ribosomal RNA, 497 nt
Filed under: uncultured bacterium
Lineage: Bacteria
Description: partial 16S ribosomal RNA
Rfam family: Bacterial small subunit ribosomal RNA
Source: RNAcentral